AACGAACGCUGGCGGCGCGCCUAACACAUGCAAGUCGCACGAGAGGCUCUUCGGAGUAGUAAAGUGGCGCACGGGUGAGUAAUACAUGGGUAAUCUGCCUUUGAGAGGGGAAUAACCAGCCGAAAGGCUAGCUAAUACCCCAUACGCUUCCAGUCCCUCGGGUAAGGAAGGAAAGCUCCAUCGUGGAUGUGGCGCUCAAAGAUGGGCUCAUGGCCUAUCAGCUUGUUGGUAGGGUAACGGCCUACCAAGGCAACGACGGGUAGCUGGUCUGAGAGGACGAUCAGCCACACUGGCACUGAGAUACGGGCCAGACUCCUACGGGAGGCAGCAGUGAGGAAUAUUGCGCAAUGGGCGAAAGCCUGACGCAGCGACGCCGCGUGGGGGAAGAAGGUUUUCGGAUUGUAAACCCCUUUUAGGAGGAAAGAUGGGGUGGGUAGCCACCCGGACGGUACCUCCAGAAAAAGCCACGGCUAACUUCGUGCCAGCAGCCGCGGUUAUACGAAGGUGGCGAGCGUUGUUCGGAUUUACUGGGCGUAAAGAGCACGUAGGCGGUUUGGUAAGCCCCUUGGGAAAGCUCCGGGCUUAACCCGGAAAGGUCGAGGGGGACUG
Molecule: ribosomal RNA, 609 nt
Filed under: uncultured bacterium
Lineage: Bacteria
Description: bacterial SSU rRNA
Rfam family: Bacterial small subunit ribosomal RNA
Source: RNAcentral